UAUCUUUAUAAUUUUACUAUCAAAUCCAAUUUCAUUAAAUUUUUCAUAUUUAAAUUCACAUAAAUAAACUUUAUUGUAACUCAUUUAUACUUAAAAAUAAACUACACCUUGAUUUGAUAUUAAUUUUAAUAUAAAUUAUAGAAAAUUAUUAUUCUUAUAAAAUAUUCUAAUAACAACGGUAUAUAAAUUGAUUCACAAUUUUAAGUAAGGUACAUCGGGGAUUAUCGAUUAUAAAACAAGUUCCUCUGAAUAGACUAAAAUACCGCCAAAUUUUUUAAGUUUCAAGCAUAUAUCUAAU
This 298-nucleotide ribosomal RNA is filed under the name Cyphipelta rufocyanea. RNAcentral's name for it is "partial 12S ribosomal RNA". The record is from RNAcentral. Lineage: Eukaryota; Metazoa; Arthropoda; Insecta; Diptera; Syrphidae.